This 853-nucleotide long non-coding RNA is filed under the name Castor canadensis (American beaver). Its description in RNAcentral is "lncRNA (ENSCCNG00000026405.1)". The record is from RNAcentral. Lineage: Eukaryota; Metazoa; Chordata; Mammalia; Rodentia; Castoridae.
UGAACAUAAUUGCUACAUGAUUAAAAAAUAAUAACCAUGUAUGAUAUCAUAAUUAGAGUCCCUUUAUACUCUUUGUUAAUCAGCUCUAUUAUUAAUCAAAAUUGGCAUUUUUAAAAUUUGUAAGCUAUUUUCUAAUGUAUAUGUGACUUAGAGAGCAAGUUGUUUUGUUUGCUAAUUGCAGAUGGUCCUUAAAGGUAGAUGAAGUCUACUUGGUAGACUUUGUUGACUGUUAGUUCUUAUGUAUCCUGAUAUUUUAAACUGAAAUAUUAAAAGCUGCAGUAGUCCUUUAUUUCCUAGGUUGAAUUCCUUGUGUUUUAGUUACUAUAACUCUCUUAUGUUUUAGUUUUUAUUUGAUCUAUGUUAAACUACUUUUCAAGGAAUUAAGUUUUAUUUUUAUAUAAAAUCAUAUUUAAUGGGCAUUAGGUAUAUGUUUCCUUUUAUCUGAUUACUAUAUCAUUGCACAUUCAUUACAGUUUUGUAUGCAAAGAAGUUGGCUAUUUUGCUGGCUCAGUAGAUACAUCAGGAAACUCCAAAGGAAAAGAUUUUCAGCACUGUGUGAAAUAUGAUCUGCAACCAUGCAAGCUGUUGGUAUUCAAAUCCCAUCACAUUGGUAACUCAAGCCGAAAUUGGAGGACAAGUCACAGUAAGACCAUGUUGGAAGACAAAAUGCUUGCCAGGAUGGGAGCUGGUUGGUGGAGCAUUUGAUUUGGAGACAAACUUUAUUAUCCAGGAUGCUGAGAGUAUAACAUGCAUAACAGAGUUUUUUGGGGCACUGUGGUGUAACAUGCCAAGCAGAAAUAUGGAGCAAGUUUGCAGCCAUUGUAUGAAUAAGUGCUUGGAAUUUACAGACUAG